GAUGAACGCUGGCGGCGUGCCUAAUACAUGCAAGUCGAGCGAACAGAUGAGGAGCUUGCUCCUCUGACGUUAGCGGCGGACGGGUGAGUAACACGUGGAUAACCUACCUAUAAGACUGGGAUAACUUCGGGAAACCGGAGCUAAUACCGGAUAAUAUAUUGAACCGCAUGGUUCAAUAGUGAAAGACGGUUUUGCUGUCACUUAUAGAUGGAUCCGCACCGCAUUAGCUAGUUGGUAAGGUAACGGCUUACCAAGGCAACGAUGCGUAGCCGACCUGAGAGGGUGAUCGGCCACACUGGAACUGAGACACGGUCCAGACUCCUACGGGAGGCAGCAGUAGGGAAUCUUCCGCAAUGGGCGAAAGCCUGACGGAGCAACGCCGCGUGAGUGAUGAAGGUCUUCGGAUCGUAAAACUCUGUUAUUAGGGAAGAACAAAUGUGUAAGUAACUAUGCACGUCUUGACGGUACCUAAUCAGAAAGCCACGGCUAACUAC
Molecule: ribosomal RNA, 494 nt
Filed under: uncultured bacterium
Lineage: Bacteria
Description: partial 16S ribosomal RNA
Rfam family: Bacterial small subunit ribosomal RNA
Source: RNAcentral